GUAGUGUCUGGUCACCUUCCCUUAGCUUUCACUCAAUCAAGGCUAGCACACUAUCACUUGAACCACAGCUCCACCUCUGGCUUUUUACUGGUUAUUUGGAGAUGAGUUUCAGGCUUUCCUGUACGGGAUUCUCAGAUCUCAGCCUCCUCCUGAUUAAGUAGCUAGAAUUACAGACAUGAGCCACUGAUGCCUGGCAGUAUUUUUAGCAGGAGAAACAGAGGGAUUAGACAAUGAACACAGACCAUCUAGUAAACAUUAAGCUUCUAAUAAACAUCAUCUAGUGAGCAUCUUAAUUGCAUUUAAUACAUCAUAACUUGAGUACAUUUCUGACUCACUUGGAAUGGUAUUUCCUGGAAGAUUUUAGACCGCCCUACAUUCUUCACAUUGUAAAGUGUGUUUUGAAAUAAUAGGAAUAAUAACAAAAGCAUCUUCAAGCUUGAAAUUUUAGACUUUUUUCCUAAACAAGGGUAUUGGUAUGUAGCUCAGGCUGGCUAGAACUUCUGAUCCUCCAGCCUCAGCUUCCUGAGCGCUGGCUUUCACAUAUGUCCAC
Perognathus longimembris pacificus (Pacific pocket mouse) is the source of this 550-nucleotide long non-coding RNA. RefSeq lists it as uncharacterized. The transcript is spliced from 3 exons. NCBI's taxonomy places the organism in Eukaryota, Metazoa, Chordata, Mammalia, Rodentia, Heteromyidae. The record is from RefSeq and is a predicted model, not a curated record.